RNAcentral lists this ribosomal RNA (518 nucleotides) under uncultured bacterium. RNAcentral's name for it is "bacterial SSU rRNA". It matches the Rfam family "Bacterial small subunit ribosomal RNA", at positions 791 to 1320 of the family's 1533-position model. The record is from RNAcentral.
UAGUCCACGCCGUAAACGAUGAGUGCUAGGUGUUGCGGGUAUUGACCCCUGCAGUGCCACAGCUAACGCAUUAAGCACUCCGCCUGGGGAGUACGGUCGCAAGAUUAAAACUCAAAGGAAUUGACGGGGACCCGCACAAGCGGUGGAGCAUGUGGUUUAAUUCGACGCAACGCGCAAAACCUUACCUGGAUUUAAACUGGUGUGGACCGGUAUAGAGAUAUACUUUCCCUUCGGGGCUGCAUUAGAGGUGCUGCAUGGCUGUCGUCAGCUCGUGUCGUGAGAUGUUGGGUUAAGUCCCGCAACGAGCGCAACCCUUAUUUUAGUUGCCAUUUGGAAAUCUAGAAAGACUGCCGGUUAUAAACCGGAGGAAGGCGGGGAUGACGUCAAGUCAGCAUGCCCCUUACGCUCUGGGCUACACACGUGCUACAAUGGGCAAGACAAUAAGUUGCAAACCUGUGAAGGUUAGCUAAUCUAUAAACUUGUUCUAAGUUCGGAUUGUAGGCUGCAACUCGCCUACA